CCUACGGGAGGCAGCAGUAAGGAAUAUUGGACAAUGGUGGCAACACUGAUCCAGCCAUGCCGCGUGCAGGAUGACGGUUCUAUGAAUUGUAAACUGCUUUUAUACGGGAAAAAACCCUCAAGACGUGAUUUUGAGCUGAUUGUACCGUAAGAAUAAGGAUCGGCUAACUUCGUGCCAGCAGCCGCGGUAAGACGAAGGAUCCAAGCGUUAUCCGGAUUUAUUGGGUUUAAAGGGUGCGUAGGCGGACUCAUAAGUCAGUGGUGAAAUCCCAAAGCUUAACUUUGGAACUGCCAUUGAUACUGUAAGUCUUGAGUAUGUUUGAAGUGGGCGGAAUGUAUUGUGUAGCGGUGAAAUGCUUAGAUAUAAUACAGAACACCAAUUGCGAAGGCAGCUCACUAAACCAUAACUGACGCUGAGGCACGAAAGCAUGGGGAGCAAACAGGAUUAGAUACCCUGGUAGUCCAUGCCCUAAAACGAUAGAAAUACUCGAUAAUGUGCGAAUAUACAGUACGUGUCUAAAGCGAAAAGCAUUAAAGUAUUCCACCGUGGGGAGUACGCUCGCAAGAGUGAAAACUCAAAAUGAAAUUGACGG
This 592-nucleotide ribosomal RNA is filed under the name uncultured bacterium. Its description in RNAcentral is "bacterial SSU rRNA". It matches the Rfam family "Bacterial small subunit ribosomal RNA", at positions 338 to 916 of the family's 1533-position model. The record is from RNAcentral.